AGUGAGCGCUGGCGGUAGGCCUAACACAUGCAAGUCGAACGGCAGCACAGUAAGAGCUUGCUCUUACGGGUGGCGAGUGGCGGACGGGUGAGGAAUACAUCGGAAUCUACUUUUUCGUGGGGGAUAACGUAGGGAAACUUACGCUAAUACCGCAUACGACCUACGGGUGAAAGCAGGGGAUCUUCGGACCUUGCGCGAUUGAAUGAGCCGAUGUCGGAUUAGCUAGUUGGCGGGGUAAAGGCCCACCAAGGCGACGAUCCGUAGCUGGUCUGAGAGGAUGAUAAGCCACACUGGAACUGAGACACGGUCCAGACUCCUACGGGAGGCAGCAGUGGGGAAUAUUGGACAAUGGGCGCAAGCAUGAUCCAGCCAUACCGCGUGGGUGAAGAAGGCCUUCGGGUUGUAAAGCCCUUUUGUUGGGAAAGAAAAGCAGCAGGUUAAUACCCCGCUGUUCUGACGGUACCCAAAGAAUAAGCACCGGCUAACUUCGUG
RNAcentral lists this ribosomal RNA (492 nucleotides) under uncultured bacterium. Its description in RNAcentral is "partial 16S ribosomal RNA". It matches the Rfam family "Bacterial small subunit ribosomal RNA", at positions 29 to 507 of the family's 1533-position model. The record is from RNAcentral.